UACGUAGGUGGCAAGCGUUAUCCGGAUUUAUUGGGCGUAAAGGGAACGCAGGCGGUCUUUUAAGUCUGAUGUGAAAGCCUUCGGCUUAACCGGAGUAGUGCAUUGGAAACUGGGAGACUUGAGUGCAGAAGAGGAGAGUGGAACUCCAUGUGUAGCGGUGAAAUGCGUAGAUAUAUGGAAGAACACCAGUGGCGAAAGCGGCUCUCUGGUCUGUAACUGACGCUGAGGCACGAAAGCGUGGGGAUCAAACAGG
This 253-nucleotide ribosomal RNA is filed under the name uncultured bacterium. Its description in RNAcentral is "partial 16S ribosomal RNA". It matches the Rfam family "Bacterial small subunit ribosomal RNA", at positions 524 to 776 of the family's 1533-position model. The record is from RNAcentral.